Molecule: ribosomal RNA, 400 nt
Filed under: Drosophila pachuca
Lineage: Eukaryota; Metazoa; Arthropoda; Insecta; Diptera; Drosophilidae
Description: partial 12S ribosomal RNA
Source: RNAcentral
UCAUUCUAGAUACACUUUCCAGUACAUCUACUAUGUUACGACUUAUCUUACCUUAAUAAUAAGAGCGACGGGCGAUGUGUACAUAUUUUAGAGCUAAAAUCAAAUUAUUAAUCUUUAUAAUUUUACAACCAAAUCCACCUUCAAAAAUUUUUUCAUAAUUUUAUCCGUUUAAAUAAAUUUAUUGUAACCCAUUAUUACUUAAAUAUAAGCUACACCUUGAUCUGAUAUAAAUUUUAAUUAAAAUUAUUGAAUAUUAUUAUUCUUAUAAAAUAUUCUGAUAACGACGGUAUAUAAACUGAUUACAAACUUAAGUAAGGUCCAUCGUGGAUUAUCGAUUAAAAAACAGGUUCCUCUGGAUAGACUAAAAUACCGCCAAAUUUUUUAAGUUUCAAGAACAUAU